AGGAUUAUAGUUUAUUAAAAUAUUUGAUUUGCAAUCAAAAGAUAUUAUAUUUAAUUUAUCUU
RNAcentral lists this transfer RNA (62 nucleotides) under Lotongus taprobanus. RNAcentral describes it as "tRNA-Ala". Lineage: Eukaryota; Metazoa; Arthropoda; Insecta; Lepidoptera; Hesperiidae. The record is from RNAcentral.